RNAcentral lists this ribosomal RNA (253 nucleotides) under uncultured bacterium. Its description in RNAcentral is "partial 16S ribosomal RNA". It matches the Rfam family "Bacterial small subunit ribosomal RNA", at positions 524 to 776 of the family's 1533-position model. The record is from RNAcentral.
UACGUAGGGGGCAAGCGUUGUCCGGAUUUAUUGGGCGUAAAGAGCGUGUAGGCGGCUAGGUAGGUCCGUUGUGAAAACUCGAGGCUCAACCUCGAGCUGUCGAUGGAAACCAUCUGGCUAGAGUCCGGAAGAGGAGAGUGGAAUUCCUGGUGUAGCGGUGAAAUGCGCAGAUAUCAGGAAGAACACCCGUGGCGAAGGCGGCUCUCUGGGCCGAUACUGACGCUGAGGAGCGAAAGCGUGGGGAGCGAACAGG